AGUGAACGCUGGCGGUAGGCCUAACACAUGCAAGUCGAACGGCAGCACAGGAGAGCUUGCUCUCUAGGUGGCGAGUGGCGGACGGGUGAGGAAUACAUCGGAAUCUGCCCAGUCGUGGGGGAUAACGUAGGGAAACUUACGCUAAUACCGCAUACGACCUUCGGGUGAAAGAGGGGGAUCGCAAGACCUCUCGCGAUUGGAUGAGCCGAUGUCGGAUUAGCUAGUUAGAGGGGUAAUGGCCCACCAAGGCGACGAUCCGUAGCUGGUCUGAGAGGAUGAUCAGCCACACUGGAACUGAGACACGGUCCAGACUCCUACGGGAGGCAGCAGUGGGGAAUAUUGGACAAUGGGCGCAAGCCUGAUCCAGCCAUACCGCGUGGGUGAAGAAGGCCUUCGGGUUGUAAAGCCCUUUUGUUGGGAAAGAAAUCUUUCAGGCUAAUACCCUGGGAGGAUGACGGUACCCAAAGAAUAAGCACCGGCUAACUUCGUG
This 490-nucleotide ribosomal RNA is filed under the name uncultured bacterium. Its description in RNAcentral is "partial 16S ribosomal RNA". It matches the Rfam family "Bacterial small subunit ribosomal RNA", at positions 29 to 507 of the family's 1533-position model. The record is from RNAcentral.